This is a long non-coding RNA of Chlorocebus sabaeus (green monkey), 1532 nucleotides long. RefSeq lists it as uncharacterized. Lineage: Eukaryota; Metazoa; Chordata; Mammalia; Primates; Cercopithecidae. The record is from RefSeq and is a predicted model, not a curated record.
UGUAAAACAGGAAAGAUCCCCAAGUCCCCACUCGACCCAGGAAGUCCAACUGGCCUCACCUCUCAGUAAUAAUAACAAAUUGAAGGUGUGACUGGCACUGUUUUUUGCUUUCUUAACCCUUCCCCUUUACUUCUGUUUUUAACAAAACCCAGAUUUCACUCAUGAUGACAAUGUGCCUAUCCCUCGCAAUGAUUCUUGGGUGGUCUGGCCUGCCUGAAUGAUAUAAUCAUCCAGAUAGCUUUUAAAAAUACAGAUUCCUACUUUCCUUCCAUGAAUCUAAUUUAAUUGGUCAGAGGUGGGGCCUAGGCAUUAAGAAUUUAAAAAUCUCCACAAGGGUAGACAAUCAUUAUCAGGCAAUUGUGUUCUCUACCAGAUAUUUGCUUCCUAGGGUUUUUAAUCCCCAUGGAUGGUCAUGUUACCUGGUUCUGGUCAAUGAAACUUUGCUGGAUUUUCUGGAAAACUUUUUGCUUUUCUUCUGAAAGGAACAGAUGUCAGGAAAACCAAUGUUGCAUCACCUGCUUCUUUUCUGUCUUGAGUGCAGUUAUGAAGUCUUAUGCAGUGGCAGCCAUCUUGUAACCAUGAGGCACUUUACUAAGCAAAAAGAGAAAAAAAGAAAACAAAACAAAGCAAAACAAGGUACUGGCAAUAUGGUGGUGAACAAGCCUAAAGAGGCCCACGCUCAUGAAGUUAAAAGGGCAUUGCAAUGGCAACAUGUUGCUCUUUGGGAAUAGGAAAACGAUACAACCAGUAGUGGGCAUUCCUGCGACCUCUGACAGGUGCCACUCUUGUUACUCUUGGCUUUCUGUUUUCCUUUGGUAGAUUUAAAAGUAGUUUUGUGAAUUCUCAGGAAAACCCCACAACCAGGAAUGCCAACAGUUGGGAAAGAAGCAGAUGUAAGAGUUAGUUUCUCCAUAGAGUUUUCCUAAUAUUUUACCUCGAUUAAUUGCUUGCGAUAUUUAUAAAAAUCAUAUACAUAAGUUAUCGAUUUCUGUGUAAAAUAUUUUAAGAGGUUUUUAACAAUUACCCUGAGACAAUGGUAAAAAGCUAAUUAUUUAAAGAAAUGCCAAGGCCUCCAUAGUCCUGGGCUUGAAUAUUAUUGAUAUUUAAUUAUUGUCAUCUUAAUAUAAAGGUUCUUAUGAGGAGCCCACUGGGGUAAAUGCUUUACUAGCUCCCCUAUGGCUUCUUUUUAUAAAAAAGUGUUUUCAAAAUGUACUUGGGGGAUGAGGAAUAGAACAAACACCAAAAACCAAAAAGAAGGUUAUUCUUUUCCCAAAAUAACCAUGACGGCGGACACAGAUUCACCUUCAGCCAAAUCACAGCAGUAUAUGGGGGUCCCCACGUCUUCUUUAGGGCACCUGGUAAUCAUAUGAUAUUACUUAUUUAAAAAACUUAUGCAGAACAAACAGUCUCUAGAGGUGAGGGCCUUCAGGGGAAAUUGUCUAAGGACAGUUGGUGUUUCAUGGCUAUGUGUUUUCAGCCCAAUUUGUUGUUACGAAGAGAGAAGAGAAUAAAAAAUGUUCUGUUUAACCUUC